RNAcentral lists this long non-coding RNA (332 nucleotides) under Lathyrus oleraceus (garden pea). RNAcentral describes it as "Pisum sativum (pea) long non-coding RNA (PSAT_LNC016252)". The record is from RNAcentral. Lineage: Eukaryota; Viridiplantae; Streptophyta; Magnoliopsida; Fabales; Fabaceae.
AUGAUGUUGAAGGGAUUCCUGACGAGAUUUCCCGACUUCUUAAGCAAGAAAAGAAGAUCACUCAGCUGCAUCUCGAGAAUCAGCAGAACAGCCAACUAGGGCACAUAAAAAAAAGAGAAAAAAAAAAGAGAAAAAAGAAAGAGGAGGGUGCAAAAUCAAAAGAAACCCAAAUCAAAAGAAAGAAAAAGAAAGAAAGAAACAAAAGAAAAAAUAGCACCCUCAAAGUCCCAAGUUGACUGAUGCUGAAUGGAUUCAGAGUCACUACGACCAGGUGAAUCCAAUCGAAAGGAAGAGAUCAACUGCCAUGUGUCAUGGUCAGUUAUAUCAGCAGA